Molecule: ribosomal RNA, 440 nt
Filed under: uncultured bacterium
Lineage: Bacteria
Description: partial 16S ribosomal RNA
Rfam family: Bacterial small subunit ribosomal RNA
Source: RNAcentral
CCUACGGGGGGCAGCAGUGGGGAAUAUUGCACAAUGGGGGAAACCCUGAUGCAGCAACGCCGCGUGAGUGAUGACGGCCUGCGGGUGGUAAAGCUCUGGCUUCAGGGACGAGAAUGACGGUACCUGCGGAGGAAGCCACGGCUAACUACGGGCCAGCAGCCGCGGUAAGACGUAGGGGGCGAGCGUGGUCCGGAUUUACUGGGCGUAAAGGGAGCGUAGGGGGACUUUUAAGUGAGAUUUGAAAUCCUCGGGCUCAACUUGAGUGCUGCCUUUCAAACUGGAAGUCUAGAGUGUAGGAGAGGCGACUGGAAUUCCUCGUGUAGCGGUGACAUGCGUAGAGAUUAGGAAGAACCCCAGUGGCGAAGGCGCUUCUCUGGACUGUAACUGACGCUGAGGCUCGAACGCGUGGGGAGCAAACAGGCUUAGAUACCCGGGUAGUC